GAUGAACGCUAGCGGGAGGCUUAAUACAUGCAAGUCGAGGGGUAACAGGGGCUUCGGCCCGCUGACGACCGGCGCACGGGUGAGUAACGCGUACGCAACUUAUCUCCAAGCGAGGGAUACGCCCUGGGAAACUGGGAUUAAUACCUCAUGUGAUUAUGAUGCCGCAUGGUGUUAUAAUUAAAGUUCAGGCGCUUGGAGAUGGGCGUGCGUCCUAUUAGCUAGUUGGUGAGGUAACGGCUCACCCAAGGCGACGAUAGGUAGGGGGCGUGAGAGCGUGGCCCCCCCANACGGGUACUGAGACACGGACCCGACUCCUACGGGAGGCAACAGUGAGGAAUAUUGCGCAAAUGGAGGCAACUCUGACGCAGCCAUGCCGCGUGCAGGAAGAAGGCGCUACGCGUUGUAAACUGCUUUUAACCGGGAGAACCCUCGACGUGUCGGAGGUUGACGGUACCGGAGGAAUAAGCACCGGCUAACUUCGUGCCAGCAGUCCGCGGUAAAGUCUAG
Molecule: ribosomal RNA, 507 nt
Filed under: uncultured bacterium
Lineage: Bacteria
Description: bacterial SSU rRNA
Rfam family: Bacterial small subunit ribosomal RNA
Source: RNAcentral